AAUUAUUGAAUGUAUCUCAUUCUCAGGUCAAUCACUUUGAUUCUCCUUCUAGACUCUUCUUCUUCUUCUCCUAGUUCUUCAAGAGCUCUCUCUCUCUCUCUCUCUCUCUCUUUCUCUUGGUUCCUUCCUUGGCCUUCUAUUCCAUGGCUUCUGAUCUUCAAGCGAGGGCCAAAGAGGCAUUCGUCGAUGAAGACUAUGAUCUCGCGAUGGACCUUCUCACUAAGGCCAUCGCUUUUGAAUCUAACAACGCUCAAUACUAUGCCGAUCGUGCCCAAGCCAACAUCAAACUCAACAACCUCGCUGAGGCUGUUGCUGAUGCAAACAUGGCAAUUGAGUUGAAUCCUUCUCUCCCAAAAGCAUAUUUGCGGAAAGGUACUGCAUGCAUGAAGCUUAAGGAAUAUCAGACAGCUAAGGCAGCUCUAGAGAUGGGUGCUUCAUUGGCUCCAGGGGAUUCAAAAUUCAUUGAUAUGCUCAAACAAUGUCAUGAGCUCAUUGCUGAAGAAUCUGAUGUCACACCUAUAAUACCAGAAAAGCACACGACAACUCGGGGUGUUUCUGCCAAAGAACUUGAGCAAGUGAAUGACGUUUCACAGCAGAUGACAAUAGCAGUUGCUAAACCUAAAUACAGGCAUGAAUUCUACCAAAAACCUGAUGAGGUGGUGGUUACCAUUUUUGCAAAGGGCAUUCCACGGGACAGCGUGACUGUUGAUUUUGGUGAACAAAUACUAAGUGUUAGAAUCGAUGUACCUGGUGAGGAUGCAUAUGCUCUUCAACCUCGCUUGUUUGGAAAGAUCGUACCUUCCAGAUGCCGAUAUGAAGUUUUGUCUACCAAGAUGGAAAUCCGGCUUGCAAAAGCAGAACCUAUCCACUGGGCAGCUCUUGAAUUCCGUGGAGGUGCAACAGUUCCACAGAGGGCUAUUGUUUCAUCAGUUAUCAACGUUCAAAGGCCUACUUACCCUUCCUCUAAACCAAAAAGAGUAGAUUGGGAUAAGCUGGAAGCUCAAGUUAAGAAAGAGGGUCUCAAUUUCAGGAAAAAGAUGAAAAGCUUGAUGGUGACGCAGCGCUGAACAAAUUCUUCCGCCAGAUAUAUCAAGAUGCAGAUGAGGACACCAGAAGAGCAAUGAGCAAAUCAUUUGUGGAGUCUAAUGGAACCGUACUGUCCACAAACUGGAAAGAAGUGGGAUCCAAGAAGGUUCAGGGAAGUGCUCCUGAUGGCAUGGAGUUGAAGAAAUGGGAAUAUUAGUUUUGGAUCAAUAUUAAUACUUGUACAUCAUUUCAUUUAUUAUUGGAUGCUCAUUAAUAUUAUUUUUGGCAGAUAACAUCUGAUUAAGAAAAAGAAUUUUUUGUUACAUC
Molecule: non-coding RNA, 1353 nt
Organism: Arachis ipaensis
Lineage: Eukaryota; Viridiplantae; Streptophyta; Magnoliopsida; Fabales; Fabaceae
Source: RefSeq, a predicted model, not a curated record